AUUUCAUCUCCAGUUACCUAUGUGCAUUCCAAGAUGGCUUUCAAAAUCUGAGCAAUGAAGAGAAGUCCAAACUGGAAGAAGAAGUGAUGAUAGAAGUUAACAGGUUUGCCCUUGCAUCACACUUCUUCUGGGGUCUGUGGUCUAUUAUACAAGCAAAGAUUUCGUCCAUUGAGUUUGGUUACCUGGAAUAUGCAUUGUCCAGAUUUGAUGCAUACUUUGAUCAGAAGAGGAAGCUGAAGGUGUGAAUGUUGGAG
Molecule: non-coding RNA, 254 nt
Organism: Tinamus guttatus (white-throated tinamou)
Lineage: Eukaryota; Metazoa; Chordata; Aves; Tinamiformes; Tinamidae
Source: RefSeq, a predicted model, not a curated record